This 2309-nucleotide ribosomal RNA is filed under the name Salmonella enterica subsp. enterica serovar Schwarzengrund. Its description in RNAcentral is "bacterial LSU rRNA". It matches the Rfam family "Bacterial large subunit ribosomal RNA", at positions 648 to 2925 of the family's 2925-position model. Lineage: Bacteria; Pseudomonadati; Pseudomonadota; Gammaproteobacteria; Enterobacterales; Enterobacteriaceae. The record is from RNAcentral.
AACCGAAUAGGGGAGCCGGAGGGAAACCGAGUCUUAAUUGGGCGUUAAGUUGCAGGGUAUAGACCCGAAACCCGGUGAUCUAGCCAUGGGCAGGUUGAAGGUUGGGUAACACUAACUGGAGGACCGAACCGACUAAUGUUGAAAAAUUAGCGGAUGACCUGUGGCUGGGGGUGAAAGGCCAAUCAAACCGGGAGAUAGCUGGUUCUCCCCGAAAGCUAUUUAGGUAGCGCCUCGUGAAUUCAUCUCCGGGGGUAGAGCACUGUUUCGGCUAGGGGGCCAUCCCGGCUUACCAACCCGAUGCAAACUGCGAAUACCGGAGAAUGUUAUCACGGGAGACACACGGCGGGUGCUAACGUCCGUCGUGAAGAGGGAAACAACCCAGACCGCCAGCUAAGGUCCCAAAGUCAUGGUUAAGUGGGAAACGAUGUGGGAAGGCCCAGACAGCCAGGAUGUUGGCUUAGAAGCAGCCAUCAUUUAAAGAAAGCGUAAUAGCUCACUGGUCGAGUCGGCCUGCGCGGAAGAUGUAACGGGGCUAAACCAUGCACCGAAGCUGCGGCAGCGACGCUGAUGCGUUGUUGGGUAGGGGAGCGUUCUGUAAGCCUGCGAAGGUGGCCUGUGAGGGUUGCUGGAGGUAUCAGAAGUGCGAAUGCUGACAUAAGUAACGAUAAAGCGGGUGAAAAGCCCGCUCGCCGGAAGACCAAGGGUUCCUGUCCAACGUUAAUCGGGGCAGGGUGAGUCGACCCCUAAGGCGAGGCCGAAAGGCGUAGUCGAUGGGAAACGGGUUAAUAUUCCCGUACUUGGUGUUACUGCGAAGGGGGGACGGAGAAGGCUAUGUUGGCCGGGCGACGGUUGUCCCGGUUUAAGCGUGUAGGUGUGUGUUCCAGGUAAAUCCGGUUCACUUUAACACUGAGGCGUGAUGACGAGGCACUACGGUGCUGAAGCAACAAAUGCCCUGCUUCCAGGAAAAGCCUCUAAGCAUCAGGUAACAUCAAAUCGUACCCCAAACCGACACAGGUGGUCAGGUAGAGAAUACCAAGGCGCUUGAGAGAACUCGGGUGAAGGAACUAGGCAAAAUGGUGCCGUAACUUCGGGAGAAGGCACGCUGACACGUAGGUGAAGUGAUUUACUCAUGGAGCUGAAGUCAGUCGAAGAUACCAGCUGGCUGCAACUGUUUAUUAAAAACACAGCACUGUGCAAACACGAAAGUGGACGUAUACGGUGUGACGCCUGCCCGGUGCCGGAAGGUUAAUUGAUGGGGUCAGCGCAAGCGAAGCUCCUGAUCGAAGCCCCGGUAAACGGCGGCCGUAACUAUAACGGUCCUAAGGUAGCGAAAUUCCUUGUCGGGUAAGUUCCGACCUGCACGAAUGGCGUAAUGAUGGCCAGGCUGUCUCCACCCGAGACUCAGUGAAAUUGAACUCGCUGUGAAGAUGCAGUGUACCCGCGGCAAGACGGAAAGACCCCGUGAACCUUUACUAUAGCUUGACACUGAACAUUGAGCCUUGAUGUGUAGGAUAGGUGGGAGGCUUUGAAGUGUGGACGCCAGUCUGCAUGGAGCCGGCCUUGAAAUACCACCCUUUAAUGUUUGAUGUUCUAACGUGGACCCGUGAUCCGGGUUGCGGACAGUGUCUGGUGGGUAGUUUGACUGGGGCGGUCUCCUCCUAAAGAGUAACGGAGGAGCACGAAGGUUGGCUAAUCCUGGUCGGACAUCAGGAGGUUAGUGCAAUGGCAUAAGCCAGCUUGACUGCGAGCGUGACGGCGCGAGCAGGUGCGAAAGCAGGUCAUAGUGAUCCGGUGGUUCUGAAUGGAAGGGCCAUCGCUCAACGGAUAAAAGGUACUCCGGGGAUAACAGGCUGAUACCGCCCAAGAGUUCAUAUCGACGGCGGUGUUUGGCACCUCGAUGUCGGCUCAUCACAUCCUGGGGCUGAAGUAGGUCCCAAGGGUAUGGCUGUUCGCCAUUUAAAGUGGUACGCGAGCUGGGUUUAGAACGUCGUGAGACAGUUCGGUCCCUAUCUGCCGUGGGCGCUGGAGAACUGAGGGGGGCUGCUCCUAGUACGAGAGGACCGGAGUGGACGCAUCACUGGUGUUCGGGUUGUCAUGCCAAUGGCACUGCCCGGUAGCUAAAUGCGGAAGAGAUAAGUGCUGAAAGCAUCUAAGCACGAAACUUGCCCCGAGAUGAGUUCUCCCUGAGACUUAGAGUCUCCUGAAGGAACGUUGAAGACGACGACGUUGAUAGGCCGGGUGUGUAAGCGCAGCGAUGCGUUGAGCUAACCGGUACUAAUGAACCGUGAGGCUUAACCUUACAACGCCGA